AGAGUUUGAUCCUGGCUCAGGAUGAACGCUAGCGGCAGGCCUAACACAUGCAAGUCGAGGGGCAGCACGGUGUAGCAAUACACUGGUGGCGACCGGCGCACGGGUGCGUAACGCGUAUGCAACCUACCCAUAACAGGGGGAUAACACUGAGAAAUUGGUACUAAUACCCCAUAACAUCAGGACCGGCAUCGGUUCUGGUUGAAAACUCCGGUGGUUAUGGAUGGGCAUGCGUUGUAUUAGCUGGUUGGUGAGGUAACGGCUCACCAAGGCAACGAUACAUAGGGGGACUGAGAGGUUAACCCCCCACAUUGGUACUGAGACACGGACCAAACUCCUACGGGAGGCAGCAGUGAGGAAUAUUGGUCAAUGGACGCAAGUCUGAACCAGCCAUGCCGCGUGCAGGAAGACGGCUCUAUGAGUUGUAAACUGCUUUUGUACGAGGGUAAACGCUCUUACGUGUAAGAGCCUGAAAGUAUCGUACGAAUAAGGAUCGGCUAACUCCGUGCCAGCAGCCGCGGUAAUACGGAGGAUCCAAGCGUUAUCCGGAUUUAUUGGGUUUAAAGGGUGCGUAGGCGGUUUGAUAAGUUAGAGGUGAAAUCCCGGGGCUUAACUCCGGAACUGCCUCUAAUACUGUUAGACUAGAGAGUAGUUGCGGUAGGCGGAAUGUAUGGUGUAGCGGUGAAAUGCUUAGAGAUCAUACAGAACACCGAUUGCGAAGGCAGCUUACCAAACUAUAUCUGACGUUGAGGCUCGAAAGCGUGGGGAGCAAACAGGAUUAGAUACCCUGGUAGUCCACGCAGUAAACGAUGAUAACUCGUUGUCGGCGAUACACAGUCGGUGACUAAGCGAAAGCGAUAAGUU
RNAcentral lists this ribosomal RNA (861 nucleotides) under human gut metagenome. RNAcentral's name for it is "bacterial SSU rRNA". It matches the Rfam family "Bacterial small subunit ribosomal RNA", at positions 8 to 866 of the family's 1533-position model. The record is from RNAcentral.